UCUGGAGAUAGAGGCGGCCUUCGGGACAGAGGAGACAGGUGGUGCAUGGUUGUCGUCAGCUCGUGUCGUGAGAUGUUGGGUUAAGUCCCGCAACAAGCGCAACCCUUGAUCUUAGUUGCCAGCACUUCGGGUGGGCACUCUAGGAUGACUGCCGGUGACAGACCGGAGGAAGGUGGGGAUGACGUCAAAUCAUCAUGCCCCUUAUGACCUGGGCUACACACGUACUACAAUGGUCGGUACAACGGGAAGCGAAGCCGCGAGGUGGAGCCAAUCCUUAUAAGCCGAUCUCAGUUCGGAUUGCAGGCUGCAACUCGCCUGCAUGAAGUCGGAAUUGCUAGUAAUCGCGGAUCAGCAUGCCGCGGUGAAUACGUUCCCGGGUCUUGUACACAACGCCCGU
RNAcentral lists this ribosomal RNA (397 nucleotides) under uncultured Paenibacillus sp. RNAcentral's name for it is "bacterial SSU rRNA". It matches the Rfam family "Bacterial small subunit ribosomal RNA", at positions 999 to 1397 of the family's 1533-position model. The record is from RNAcentral. Lineage: Bacteria; Bacillati; Bacillota; Bacilli; Caryophanales; Paenibacillaceae.